GAGUCUCGCAAAAAGGAAGCAUCUAUGUUAUGAUUUGUUGUUACUUUUAACAGUUUUUGAAUUUGAGAGUGAUAAAGAAGAUAUCCCUGAUUCUCAAGAGAAAAUCUUACAGGUAAUUAACAAGUAAUGGCUGGAUCUGAAGCUCAUGGAGAUGCUCAGUUCAAAGGCUGGCAAAAGCACUUCAAUACAUAUACAAUUCGGGGAAGAUCUAAUAUUACUUAUGCCACUUACUCUGCACUUGCCGUCUUUGGCCUUUAUAUGUAUUUGAAACCUAAGAAGACAGUAGAAAAAAAAAGAAAUGAUGCAAUUUAAACAUUAAAAAAUUAAAUAAAAUUAUAUAUUAUAAAAAUACAUGAACUUAAUAAAUUAAAAGUAAAUAAAUACCUAUACUAUUUUUUUCCACAGUUCUAUUUCCAUGUCACCAAUGCUUACUUUCCUGCUAAAUCUAUAAAUUAAUAUUUCAUUGAAUCUUUUAUUAUGCUGUGUAUUAAUAACAGGGUAAUGUAGUGCUAAUUAAAUACUGAGGGUAGUGCCUUCAAGUGUAAUUUGUUGUACUAUAAUUAAAUGUCCCAUUUUUAACAUUAUGGCACAAUAUUGAACACUAUGUACUUUGUCCUUUAGUCAAAUACUCCUAUACAUUUGAUGAUCAUAUGUUGCAAGAAUGCAUUACUGUAUAUCAACUCAUGCCAAUAUUACUGGAUUUUAUACAAGAAUCUUAAAAUUUGUUCUAGAUAUUGUAUAAUUAAAAAAUUAAGUGUUUCAGUAUCUUUCAGACACUAUACAAAUAAAAUUUGUAAAUUUAUACAAACUAUAUACAUACAAAUGAAUUGAGAAGCUAUUACCGAAAAUAUCUUUUGUCUCUUUCUCUUCUAAAAUCUUGGUACUUUAUUGUAAAAGAGUUUUAUUUUGUCAAAAAAUUUAUUUUUUCAUCUUAUUAGAGCUGUUUAAUAAUUUUAAUUUUUUGCAAAACUAAAUUUAUCCACAUCUUAAAAAAAGAUCAAUAAUCAUACAUUUUAGCAAAGUUAUUUCAUUGUAACUCAUCUCAUUCUAAUUUGGCUUAUUUGUUUGCAAAACUUAACAUAUCCCCAUUGCUUUCAAGAGAUCUAAAAUUAGUAAAUAUCAUGUUCCAUUUUUCUCCUUAUUACUUUGAGUUUGUUAGUAUUGUUUGAGAUUGCAAGAUAGUUUGGUAAUAAAAAAUGAUGCUGCUUUUA
Molecule: long non-coding RNA, 1211 nt
Organism: Argiope bruennichi
Lineage: Eukaryota; Metazoa; Arthropoda; Arachnida; Araneae; Araneidae
Exons: 4
Source: RefSeq, a predicted model, not a curated record